RNAcentral lists this transfer RNA (65 nucleotides) under Ocypode ceratophthalmus. Its description in RNAcentral is "tRNA-Tyr". It matches the Rfam family "tRNA". From Rfam's summary of the family: Transfer RNA (tRNA) molecules are approximately 80 nucleotides in length. Their secondary structure includes four short double-helical elements and three loops (D, anti-codon, and T loops). The record is from RNAcentral. Lineage: Eukaryota; Metazoa; Arthropoda; Malacostraca; Decapoda; Ocypodidae.
GAUAAAGUGGCUGAGUUAUAGGCGGUAGAUUGUAAAUCUAAUAACAAGUAAAAACUUCUUUAUUA